Molecule: ribosomal RNA, 491 nt
Filed under: Treponema sp. oral taxon 238
Lineage: Bacteria; Pseudomonadati; Spirochaetota; Spirochaetia; Treponematales; Treponemataceae
Description: bacterial SSU rRNA
Rfam family: Bacterial small subunit ribosomal RNA
Source: RNAcentral
AACGAACGCUGGCGGCGCGUCUUAAGCAUGCAAGUCGUACGGUAAGAGAGGAGCUUGCUUCUCUCCUAGAGUGGCGGACUGGUGAGGAACACGUGGGUAAUCUACCCUUAAGUUGGGGAUAGCUGCUAGAAAUAGCAGAUAAUACCGAAUGCACUCGGUCUUUCAUAAGAGAGAUUGAGGAAAGAGGCUACGGCCUCGCUUGAGGAUGAGCUUGCGUCCCAUAGCUAGUUGGUGAGGUAAAGGCUCACCAAGGCAACGAUGGGUAUCCGGCCUGAGAGGGUGAUCGGACACAUUGGGACUGAGAUACGGCCCAAACUCCUACGGGAGGCAGCAGCUAAGAAUAUUCCGCAAUGGACGAAAGUCUGACGGAGCGACGCCGCGUGGAUGAAGAAGGCUGAAAAGUUGUAAAAUCCUUUUGUUGAUGAAGAAUAAGGAUAAGAGGGAAUGCUUAUCUGAUGACGGUAAUCAGCGAAUAAGCCCCGCUAAUUACA